AUUCCAGAGAGGGGUCAAAUCCAUUGAAAGCAUAAAACAUGAAAAAAGUUCACAGAAAGGUAUAUCCUUUUACCCAUGUUAGGGAUUGUAAUCUGGAAGCUAUAUCAGAUAAUAUAAAAUAAAAAGAAAAUUCAAAAGGAUUCUACCUAGAUCCAGAUCCAGCAUAAAUAAAUAAAUUGGAGGCUCCUUCAUCACUUCCAAUGCACUUCCAAUGCAAAUGGAUUAUAACACAGACCAAAUAUUCUAAAAUAG
RNAcentral lists this unclassified non-coding RNA (252 nucleotides) under Hevea brasiliensis (rubber tree). Lineage: Eukaryota; Viridiplantae; Streptophyta; Magnoliopsida; Malpighiales; Euphorbiaceae. The record is from RNAcentral.